AGUGAACGCUGGCGGUAGGCCUAACACAUGCAAGUCGAACGGCAGCACAGUAAGAGCUUGCUCUUACGGGUGGCGAGUGGCGGACGGGUGAGGAAUACAUCGGAAUCUACUUUUUCGUGGGGGAUAACGUAGGGAAACUUACGCUAAUACCGCAUACGACCUACGGGUGAAAGCAGGGGAUCUUCGGACCUUGCGCGAUUGAAUGAGCCGAUGUCGGAUUAGCUAGUUGGCGGGGUAAAGGCCCACCAAGGCGACGAUCCGUAGCUGGUCUGAGAGGAUGAUCAGCCAAACUGGAACUGAGACACGGUCCAGACUCCUACGGGAGGCAGCAGUGGGGAAUAUUGGACAAUGGGCGCAAGCCUGAUCCAGCCAUACCGCGUGGGUGAAGAAGGCCUUCGGGUUGUAAAGCCCUUUUGUUGGGAAAGACAAGCAGCAGGUUAAUACCCCGCUGUUCUGACGGUACCCAAAGAAUAAGCACCGGCUAACUUCGUG
RNAcentral lists this ribosomal RNA (492 nucleotides) under uncultured bacterium. Its description in RNAcentral is "partial 16S ribosomal RNA". It matches the Rfam family "Bacterial small subunit ribosomal RNA", at positions 29 to 507 of the family's 1533-position model. The record is from RNAcentral.